CUGAGGCAGUGGGGGUGGGGCGGGGCACGUGGAACUGGGGGCCCAGGCCCUCUCCAAUUUCCACCGGCCUCCCCCUGCCCGCCCUACAGAACGCAUUCCAUGCUGUGCACUCCUCCCUGCAGCAUCAGUCUGCCCCUCAGAGGUGCCGUGCCUUGGGGCAGGGAAGGACCCGGAGACAGCGCUGUUGAGCCCAGGGCAUACCAGCUCAGUGUCCUCUGCCCCGUCUCCACAGCAGUGCGCGGGAGAAAUGCCAUGUCCACGGAGAGAUAAGGAAGCAGACGCAGAGAGGAAGCUGGAGCCGCCCCCUGAGGUGCUCAAUUCACAGGCACGACGGACUGUGAUACCUCUGGGGGAAUGAAAUUGGAGUGGUUUGGCUGUGGCCUCAGGUUUUGGGCAGGAAAGAGCAGGGCAGAUCUCGGCGACUGCUUCCGUCCGGCGGAACCGAAGUCACUUCCCAGCACCUCGCUGUAAAUGAGUCUUGGAAUGCAGGCCUAGAUCGCCAGGUGUGCAGCACUGGCAGGCACACCAGUGGAAGGGCUGUGAGGCCCAGACCUUUGCUUGCUCCAGUCCCCUCUCCUUUUUGUACCCGAGGUCCACUUGGAAACGCAGGUCAGCCCCCUGAGGCCGUGGCGGAGGUUGCUCCUGCCCAUCACGGCCCCGCUGCCUCCUCCCUGGGCUGAGGACCAAGAGGAAGAAGCAGGGCCCGAGAAGCAGAAGAUGGCUGUGUGGCACGCGCCCAGCCCAGACCCACACCUUGCGCCCAGGAGGCCAGGGCAGCCCCGCGUCCUCCGACACGUGCCACCGUUCUGACUGCGCACGCCACUCACCGGGAGCACGGCCCGCGUGUGAGCGACGCGUUCAUUAAUGAACCAGCCGCUCGCCGAGAGGCGAUGGCGUAAUUGCUGUUCGCGGCGGAUGAAUGCUAAUUGAAUAUUAAGAACGUAUUUGUGCAGAAGGAGUCACUUAGGAGCGAGCCGUGCCCUUUGUCAGCCAGAUGUUUGGGCUCGCUAUGGAGGCUGAGUCAUCGGCUGGAAGCCCCUGGCAUUUGGGCGCUGCUGCUCCUCUGGGAAGGGAGGCAGGCAGCCCGGGCAGGUCUGGCUCCCGGCAGGGAGCGGGGACAUCGCCACACACAGGCCCGGGAGAGAACUGCGUCAGCAGGUGACAGACAUGCAUGAGCUUUGACUGGGGCAGUUCUGGAUUGAAAACCCUUCUUUACAACCCUCCCAGCAGCAGGUUCAGUCCUGCCAGCGAGGCAGGCAGGAGGGCCUGUCAACGCCAUCUGCAGGUGGGGAAACUGAGGCUCCGUGGGCGGAGGCGAUGCGCUCAGGAUGCCAAGCCACCGAGUCCUAGUCUCCGAGCUUCCAGCACAGCCUCACCCCCUGUGGCAGGCCGCUCAGGCCUGGGCUCGGACCCCUGGGCAGCCGAGGGGCGACGGCCACCUCCCCUGGGCCUCUGCAGUCCCUGAGCUGGGGGCUGACUGGCCCCAGGUCCCGGGCCUCCCCAGGGCUCCAGCUCUCCUGACGGCUCUGCCCGCCAAGGCAGGGAAGUAAGGCACGCAGGCUCUGGGCACAGGAUUCUUGGAUUCAGAGCUCAUCUUAAGCUCUUAGGCGCUGAGAAAUCUGGGGCAAAUCUCUUAGGUGCUUUGUUCUCUGUGCCUCAGUUCCCAUGCCAAUCAAAUGGAGCUACUAAUAGGCCUGCCCUCGUUAGCAAGGGCAGCGGGCACCCGAGUGUCUGAUACAUACAUUUGCAGCGGCUCCCCCUCCCCCGCCCAGGCCAGCGACACAGAAACGCAGCACGCGUGCUGCUUGGUGGGGAGGACGUGGGACAACCUGCCCAGCGGCACCCAGAGCCCAGCGACAGGGCUGGGAGGAGAGCAAGCGGGUCCCCCCUCCGCAAGAGCAGGCAGUACUGCCCAUAGCCCACAGCCCACAGCCAGCAGCCCCUGGGGAAGGGCUGAAAGACCGAGGGGACGCGCAGACAGGAGGCCGGAGGCAGCGCCUGCAGAGCCGAUGAGGCCGGGCCUGGAGGCCGCAGGGGCUGGAGGAGCCGCCCUCCCGCUGCCCCAGUCCGGCCUCCUAGCCACUGGCCUCGGGAGCUCCAGGCCCCAACCGUGCGGACUGGUCAUCUGGGCUCCCCGAGGCAGGAGGCAGGCCCUGCGACAAGCGCUCAGAUCCCACAGAUCAGCUCUAAUUGGGAAGCGAUCUCAGGGAGUGAGACUCCGUCCCUCCCGUCACGUUCCAGGUGCCCCCAGCAGGCCCGCAGCCCAGGAGGCACCCCAGAGCUGGCACAGCCCCUGCACCCGGUGGGACAGCUGAGUGAUUGGAGGUGAUGUCCUACGGGCCCCUCUGUAGGCACCUCAGAGGGGCUCUAUUUGAGGCCUGUGCAGCCUGGGGCGCGGGUCGGGCAGCCAGUGGUGCUCGGUGCUCAGGCCAGACUGCCUGAGGCGGCCCCUGCGGUGUGUUGGGCCAGGUCCCAGCCCUGCAGCCUCCUCACCUCAGGCCCUGUCUCAGGCCCAGCUCACACCAGCUAAGCUCUCCUGGGAAGCCAAUGCCAUCAGAAGUGCCCCAGGAAGCCACUCGCCCCGGGCGACAGACGGGCCUAUUUAUAGGAGGAACGUGCGCCCUGUCAGCCUCCAGCUCCACCUGCCUUCUGCUCCCCGCGCCCGCCCGCGCCUGCUGCUGCCGCCUAUAUCAGGAGCCUGGCAGAUGGAAGGAGCGCCCCUCCCCACGACCAGGGCUCUGAGAGUGCCAGGGCGGCAGAGCCACCUUCCUGGGCUGCCUGCACCUGCCUCAGAGCCUACGGGGGACUCAGUUCCGCUCUGAUUCUGGGGAUCAAACCAGGAAACCCACAGAGAGGGGUGCAGAGGCAGGGAGCAAGGAAAGGGAGGAAGGAACAAAGUAUAGGCAGGGGUGAGGGACUAAGGAGCAGGGAGGAGAGGUAAGGGCUGAAAGGGAGACGUAGAGAGCAGAAGAAAGAGGCGUCAGGGGUCUCAGUGGCCCACAGUGAGUCUUGCCAAAUAGGAAAGGUGCCCUCUGUGGGUUGAUGAAUUAGAAAAAGGUUUUAGUCCAGUGUGUCUCUCUGUGAAGAAAGACAGCCUUCUUCCCAGAGGAACUGGCCCCAUGCCAGGUCACCCAGCGUGGGGAGCAGGGCGUGGGCCCGAGUGCAGCCUCUCAUGACCUGAACAGCUGUACCUGGCAGCCUGCUCCUGAGCUCCUGGCAAGUGGGGGGCUGAGGGAGGCAGGCCUGAGCUGAGAGGGGGGCUGCUGUAGGUGGACCCCAGUGCUCUGCCCGCCAGCACCAGGUCUGACCACCCCAGAGCAAUCCAUUUCACUGUGUUAGAAGCUGAUAAGCCGUUCUUGCCACCUCCCAGCUGAGGCUCCUCAUCUCUCCCAGGCUCUCCAGGGAGACCCCGGCUCAUUAGGCAAUCACACGGCGUGUUGCCCGGCCAGGCAGAGAGCAGCCGGAGAGGACCCAUGACAAGCUCCAGCCUGGUCUCCCUGGGGGGUGACGUCUAGACCUCUGGCCCCCACUUGCGGCAUCAGUGGCUGCUGCCUGUCCCAGAAGCCCUGGAGGCAGGAGGAGCCUCUGGGUCAGCAUUCCAAGCCCAGCUGGGCCCUCCCCUGCCCCUUAUCUUCAUACACCUGCACCGUCCUGGCUGCUGGGGCGGGG
Long non-coding RNA from Myotis myotis, 3669 nucleotides. RefSeq lists it as uncharacterized. Lineage: Eukaryota; Metazoa; Chordata; Mammalia; Chiroptera; Vespertilionidae. The transcript is spliced from 5 exons. The record is from RefSeq and is a predicted model, not a curated record.